Molecule: ribosomal RNA, 504 nt
Filed under: uncultured bacterium
Lineage: Bacteria
Description: partial 16S ribosomal RNA
Rfam family: Bacterial small subunit ribosomal RNA
Source: RNAcentral
AUUGAACGCUGGCGGCAUGCCUUACACAUGCAAGUCGAACGGCAGCAUGGAGAGCUUGCUCUCUGAUGGCGAGUGGCGAACGGGUGAGUAAUGCAUCGGAACGUACCGUGUAAUGGGGGAUAACGUAGCGAAAGUUACGCUAAUACCGCAUACGACCUGAGGGUGAAAGCAGGGGAUCGCAAGACCUUGCGUUAUACGAGCGGCCGAUGUCAGAUUAGCUAGUUGGUGAGGUAAAGGCUCACCAAGGCGACGAUCUGUAGCGGGUCUGAGAGGAUGAGCCGCCACACUGGGACUGAGAAACGGCCCAGACUCCUACGGGAGGCACCAGUGGGGAAGUUUGGACAAUGGGGGCAACCCUGAUCCAGCCAUGCCGCGUGAGUGAAGAAGGCCUUCGGGUUGUAAAGCUCUUUCGGCCGGGAAGAAAUCGCACAGGCUAAUACUCUGUGUGGAUGACGGUACCGGCAUAAGAAGCACCGGCUAACUACGUGCCAGCCGCCGCCGUAA